UGGGGAAUAUUGCACAAUGGGCGAAAGCCUGAUGCAGCAAUGCCGCGUGUGUGAAGAAGGCCUGCGGGUUGUAAAGCACUUUCAGUAGAGAAGAGAAGCACGAGGUUAAUACCCGCGUGUCUUGACAUUAACUACAGAAGAAGCACCGGCUAACUCCGUGCCAGCAGCCGCGGUAAUACGGAGGGUGCGAGCGUUAAUCGGAAUUACUGGGCGUAAAGCGCGCGUAGGCGGCUAGGUCAGUCGGAUGUGAAAGCCCCGGGCUUAACCUGGGAACUGCAUUCGAUACUGCUUAGCUAGAGUAUGGUAGAGGGAAGUGGAAUUCCGGGUGUAGCGGUGAAAUGCGUAGAUAUCCGGAGGAACACCAGUGGCGAAGGCGACUUCCUGGACCAAUACUGACGCUGAGGUGCGAAAGCGUGGGGAGCAAACAGGAUUAGAUACCCCCGUAGUCC
This 449-nucleotide ribosomal RNA is filed under the name uncultured prokaryote. RNAcentral describes it as "bacterial SSU rRNA". It matches the Rfam family "Bacterial small subunit ribosomal RNA", at positions 355 to 796 of the family's 1533-position model. The record is from RNAcentral.